RNAcentral lists this ribosomal RNA (573 nucleotides) under uncultured bacterium. Its description in RNAcentral is "partial 16S ribosomal RNA". It matches the Rfam family "Bacterial small subunit ribosomal RNA", at positions 355 to 920 of the family's 1533-position model. The record is from RNAcentral.
UGGGGAAUUUUGGACAAUGGGCGAAAGCCUGAUCCAGCAAUGCCGCGUGUGUGAAGAAGGCCUUCGGGUUGUAAAGCACUUUUGUCCGGAAAGAAAUCCUUGGCUCUAAUACAGUCGGGGGAUGACGGUACCGGAAGAAUAAGCACCGGCUAACUACGUGCCAGCAGCCGCGGUAAUACGUAGGGUGCAAGCGUUAAUCGGAAUUACUGGGCGUAAAGCGUGCGCAGGCGGUUUGCUAAGACCGAUGUGAAAUCCCCGGGCUCAACCUGGGAACUGCAUUGGUGACUGGCAGGCUAGAGUAUGGCAGAGGGGGGUAGAAUUCCACGUGUAGCAGUGAAAUGCGUAGAGAUGUGGAGGAAUACCGAUGGCGAAGGCAGCCCCCUGGGCCAAUACUGACGCUCAUGCACGAAAGCGUGGGGAGCAAACAGGAUUAGAUACCCUGGUAGUCCACGCCCUAAACGAUGUCAACUAGUUGUUGGGGAUUCAUUUCCUUAGUAACGUAGCUAACGCGUGAAGUUGACCGCCUGGGGGAGUACGGUCGCAAGAUUAAAACUUAAAUGAAUUGACGGGGUC